ACCUAGCUGGCUCAGUCAGAAGAGCACAGGACUCUUGAUCUCUGGGUCAUGAGUUUGAGCCCCAUGUUGGGCA
This 73-nucleotide transfer RNA is filed under the name Felis catus (domestic cat). It matches the Rfam family "tRNA". Rfam says of the family: Transfer RNA (tRNA) molecules are approximately 80 nucleotides in length. RNAcentral also lists the same sequence under 2 other names. Lineage: Eukaryota; Metazoa; Chordata; Mammalia; Carnivora; Felidae. The record is from Rfam by way of RNAcentral.